CCUACGGGAGGCAGCAGUGGGGGAUAUUGCACAAUGGGGGAAACCCUGAUGCAGCGAUGCCGCGUGAAUGAAGACGGCCUUCGGGUUGUAAAGUUCUGUCGCAGGGGAAGAAAAUGACGGUACCUGAGUAAGAAGCUCCGGCUGAAUACGUGCCAGCAGCCGCGGUAAUACGUAUGGAGCAAGCGUUAUCCGGAUUUACUGGGUUUAAAGGGAGCGCAGGCGGCCUUGCAAGUCUGAUGUGAAAUACCGGGGCUCAACCCCGGAGCUGCAUUGGAAACUGGGAGGCUGGAGUGGCGGAGAGGCAGGCGGAAUUCCUAGUGUAGCGGUGGAAUGCGUAGAUAUUAGGAGGAACACCAGUGUCGAAGGCGGCCGGCUGGACGAUGACUGACGCUGAGGCUCGAAAGCGUGGGGAGCAAACAGGAUUUAGAUACCCUGGUAGUC
Molecule: ribosomal RNA, 441 nt
Filed under: uncultured bacterium
Lineage: Bacteria
Description: partial 16S ribosomal RNA
Rfam family: Bacterial small subunit ribosomal RNA
Source: RNAcentral